CUGGUUGAUCCUGCCAGUGUCYARYUUGCUCAAAGAUUAAGCCAUGCAUGUCUAAGUAUAAGCAAUUUAUACAGUGAAACUGCGAAUGGCUCUAUUAAAUCAGUUAUCGUUUAUUCGAUAGUACCUUACUACUUGGAUAACCGUGGUAAUUCUAGAGCUAAUACAUGCUUAAAAUCCCGACUGUUUGGAAGGGAUGUAUUUAUUAGAUAAAAAAUCAAUGUCUUUGGACUCUUUGAUGAUUCAUAAUAACUUUUCGAAUCGCAUGGCCUUGUGCUGGCGAUGGUUCAUUCAAAUUUCUGCCCUAUCAACUUUCAAUGGUAGGAUAGUGGCCUACCAUGGUUUCAACGGGUAACGGGGAAUAAGGGUUCGAUUCCGGAGAGGGAGCCUGAGAAACGGCUACCACAUCCAAGGAAGGCAGCAGGCGCGCAAAUUACCCAAUCCCGACACGGGGAGGUAGUGACAAUAAAUAACGAUACAGGGCCCUUUCGGGUCUUGUAAUUGGAAUGAGUACAAUGUAAAUACCUUAACGAGGAACAAUUGGAGGGCAAGUCUGGU
RNAcentral lists this ribosomal RNA (555 nucleotides) under uncultured eukaryote. RNAcentral describes it as "SSU rRNA". It matches the Rfam family "Eukaryotic small subunit ribosomal RNA", at positions 4 to 567 of the family's 1831-position model. The record is from RNAcentral.